Molecule: ribosomal RNA, 861 nt
Filed under: uncultured archaeon
Lineage: Archaea
Description: bacterial SSU rRNA
Rfam family: Archaeal small subunit ribosomal RNA
Source: RNAcentral
ACUGCUAUCGGAUUGGUACUAAGCCAUGUGAGUCAUUGUAGCAAUACAAGGCAUACGGCUCAGUAACACGUAGUCAAUCUACCCUAUGGACGGGGAUAACUUCGGGAAACUGAGGAUAAACCCCGAUAGAUCAUAAUGCCUGGAAUGGUUUAUGGUCCAAACGAUUCGUCGCCGUAGGAUGGGACUGCGGCCUAUCAGCUUGUUGGUGAGGUAAUGGCCCACCAAGGCGAUUACAGGUACGGGCUCUGAGAGGAGAAGCCCGGAGAUGGGUACUGAGACACGGACCCAGGCCCUAUGGGGCGCAGCAGGCGAGAAACCUUUGCAAUGUGCGCAAGCACGACAAGGUUAAUCCGAGUGAUUCCUGCUAAAGGAAUCUUUUGUUAGUCGUAAAACCACUAGUGAAUAAGGGGUGGGCAAGUUCUGGUGUCAGCCGCCGCGGUAAAACCAGCACCUCAAGUGGUCAGGAGGAUUAUUGGGCCUAAAGCAUCCGUAGCCUGUUCUGUAAGUUUCCGGUUAAAUCCAUUAGCUCAACUAAUGGGCUGCCGGAAAUACUGUAGAACUAGGAAGUGGGAGAGGUAGACGGUACUCGGUAGGAAGGGGUAAAAUCCUUUGAUCUAUUGAUGACCACCAGUGGCGAAGGCGGUCUACCAGAACACGUUCGACGGUGAGGGAUGAAAGCUGGGGGAGCAAACCGGAUUAGAUACCCGGGUAGUCCCAGCUGUAAACGAUGCAGACUCGGUGAUGCCCUGGCUUGUGGCCAGUGCAGUGCCGCAGGGAAGCCGUUAAGUUUGCCGCCUGGGAAGUACGUACGCAAGUAUGAAACCUAAAGGAAUUGGCGGGGGAGCACCACAAGGGGUGAAG